Molecule: ribosomal RNA, 253 nt
Filed under: uncultured prokaryote
Description: partial 16S ribosomal RNA
Rfam family: Bacterial small subunit ribosomal RNA
Source: RNAcentral
ACGGAGGGUGCGAGCGUUGUCCGGAAUCACUGGGCGUAAAGGGCGCGUAGGCGGCGCGGAAAGUCGUCGGUGAAAGCUCAGGGCUCAACUCUGAGUCGGCCGGUGAUACUCCCGCGCUCGAGCUCACUAGAGGCAGAUGGAAUUCCGGGUGUAGCGGUGGAAUGCGUAGAGAUCCGGAAGAACACCGGUGGCGAAGGCGGCUUCCUGGACCGACACUGACGCUGAGGCGCGAAAGCUAGGGGAGCAAACGGGA